GGGCCCUGUCUUUCUUGCUUUUAUAUGUUGACUAUAGUGUCCUUUUAAUUUAUGCAGAAAUGGGUAGCAAGGUUGCUGUGAGCUUACAGUGGUCCUCUAGCACAACACCUCUUGUGCCAGUAGCUAAGAAAUUAACCUGACCUCACUAAAGGGUGCAGGUAGGAAGGCUGGGUGGUUUAUUUUGUUUCCUAACGUGUGUGUGUAUAUAUGUAUGUGUGUAUGUAUGUACACACAC
Non-coding RNA from Pelobates cultripes (western spadefoot toad), 235 nucleotides. NCBI's taxonomy places the organism in Eukaryota, Metazoa, Chordata, Amphibia, Anura, Pelobatidae. The record is from the annotation of a GenBank genome assembly.